This 224-nucleotide unclassified non-coding RNA is filed under the name uncultured fungus. Its description in RNAcentral is "sequence contains ITS2". Lineage: Eukaryota; Fungi. The record is from RNAcentral.
AACGCACAUUGCGCCUCCUUUAACCAGGGGGCAUGCCUGUCUGAGCGUCAUUUAAAUCUAUGGACCUGACUGGGUUCCGUAUUGGGCUUCGCCUCUCUGAGCGGCGUCGCCUCGAAAGCAUCGGCCUCGUGGAGCGGACGCGAUCCUUAUGGACUGACCGUUUCAUAGCCGGAGUUUGACUCUGAUUUGACCUCAGAUCAGGUAGGGAUACCGCCUGAACUUAA